This 447-nucleotide ribosomal RNA is filed under the name uncultured bacterium. RNAcentral's name for it is "bacterial SSU rRNA". It matches the Rfam family "Bacterial small subunit ribosomal RNA", at positions 355 to 825 of the family's 1533-position model. The record is from RNAcentral.
UCGGGAAUUUUGGGCAAUGGGCGAAAGCCUGACCCAGCAACGCCGCGUGAAGGAUGAAGUAUUUCGGUAUGUAAACUUCGAAAGAAUAGGAAGAAUAAAUGACGGUACUAUUUAUAAGGUCCGGCAAACUUCGUGCCAGCAGCCGCGGUAAUACGAAGGGGGCUAGCGUUGUUCGGAAUUACUGGGCGUAAAGCGCACGUAGGCGGAUUGUUAAGUCAGAGGUGAAAUCCCGGAGCUCAACUUCGGAACUGCCUUUGAUACUGGCAAUCUAGAGUCCGGAAGAGGUUAGUGGAAUUCCCAGUGUAGAGGUGAAAUUCGUAGAUAUUGGGAAGAACACCAGUGGCGAAGGCGGCUAACUGGUCCGGUACUGACGCUGAGGUGCGAAAGCCAGGGGAGCAAACGGGAUUAGAUACCCCCGUAGUCCCUGAGCGGGCUGGCAAGGCGCAU